GCCAAACAUGACGAAUUUACUCAGCUGUGUGGAACAUCUAAAAUCUUUACCAGACUAUCGGACUGGCUAGCUGUAAAUUUAGACCGUCCGUCAGAAUUCUAGCCCGUCUCGGGCUGUCGGACGGGCCUUAUUUCAUA
Molecule: long non-coding RNA, 137 nt
Organism: Haliotis rubra (blacklip abalone)
Lineage: Eukaryota; Metazoa; Mollusca; Gastropoda; Lepetellida; Haliotidae
Exons: 3
Source: RefSeq, a predicted model, not a curated record